Molecule: ribosomal RNA, 342 nt
Filed under: uncultured Anaerolineaceae bacterium
Lineage: Bacteria; Bacillati; Chloroflexota; Anaerolineae; Anaerolineales; Anaerolineaceae
Description: bacterial SSU rRNA
Rfam family: Bacterial small subunit ribosomal RNA
Source: RNAcentral
AGGCUUGUACAGGUGCUGCAUGGCUGUCGUCAGCUCGUGUCGUGAGAUGUCGUUAAGUCCGCUAACGAGCGCAACCCUCGCUGUGUGUUACAAGUGUCACACGGAACUGCCGGUCAUAAACCGGAGGAAGGUGGGGAUGACGUCAAGUCAGCAUGGCCUUUAUAUCCUGGGCUACACACACGCUACAAUGGGAAGGGACAAUAGGUUGCGAAGCCGCGAGGCGGAGCCAAUCCAGCAAAACUUCCCUCAGUUCAGAUUGCAGGCUGCAACCCGCCUGCAUGAAGUUGGAGUUGCUAGUAAACGCAGGUCAGCCAUACUGCGUUGAAUACGUUCCCGGGGCUU